Molecule: ribosomal RNA, 388 nt
Filed under: uncultured bacterium
Lineage: Bacteria
Description: bacterial SSU rRNA
Rfam family: Bacterial small subunit ribosomal RNA
Source: RNAcentral
GACGAACGCUGGCGGCGUGCUUAACACAUGCAAGUCGAGCGGUAAGGCCCUUUCGGGGGUACGACGAGCGGCGAACGGGUGAGUAACACGUGGGUGACCUGCCCUCAGCUCUGGGAUAAGCCUGGGAAACCGGGUCUAAUACUGGAUAUGACUCCAUGACGCAUGUUGUGGGGUGGAAAGCCUUGUGCGGCUGAGGAUGGGCCCGCGGCCUAUCAGCUUGUUGGUGGGGUGAGGCCUACCAAGGCGACGACUGGUAGCCGGCCUGAGAGGGCGACCGGCCACACUGGGACUGAGACACGGCCCAGACUCCUACGGGAGGCAGCAGUGGGGAAUCUUGCGCAAUGGGCGAAAGCCUGACGCAGCGACGCCGCGUGAGGGAUGACGGCCU